This 1863-nucleotide long non-coding RNA is filed under the name Sus scrofa (pig). Its description in RNAcentral is "lncRNA (ENSSSCG00015054269.1)". The record is from RNAcentral. Lineage: Eukaryota; Metazoa; Chordata; Mammalia; Artiodactyla; Suidae.
AUGGCCACAUUCUCUUUUUGGCUGGAUGUGGAGUUCCUAGGCCAGGGAUCGAAACUGCAUCGUAGCAGUGACCCGAGCUGCUAUGGUGACGAUGUCAGACCCUUAACCCACUGGGCCACAAGGGAACUCCUAUGGUUAUACUCUUGUUGGUUCUCAGACAAGGGACAGGCUGCUGGCCCCAUCCCACCCCCAAACCAGGGGCUCACUUUUGCUCUCCAGGCCACCAGGCCUGGUCCUGAGAAGUAUGCGCCCGCAUCACAGAUCCUAAUGCUGAGCUCCUGCCCUGCCACCCCUGCACCCCUGCCCAGGGGUGGAGCAGGAGCUCUAGGCUCGUUUCUCCCUUAUCCCUGCAGAUGGCUCCUCCGAGUGGGGGUGUCUGUCUCGCUUCUCCAACCACCCAAUUCCCAGUGCCCCCAGUGGGCUCACUCGCUCACAGGCCACCACCUCCCAGGAGAACUGAUACCACGAGAGGGUGGGUCCCUUCCCCAGAGACCCAGAGCCAUCUGGGGAACCUGCCCCUCUGGGGGUGGGAAGGGGAGCCCCCAAGGGGCUGGGUGUGGUGUGAAGCUGGAAGGACACCCGCUGGGCCUGGCCUGGCGCCGCACACAAGGGUCAGGGAGCCAGAUAGACAAGUUUUAUUCCACCCGCCUCCUGUCCCAGCCACCAGGACCGCUGGAGGGUCUGGGGCAGAGUCACGCUUGGGAGGUCACGCUGUGGCUGGAGCAAGUGGGCGAGGGGAAACCAGGUCUGCCACCGGCCAUGUCACCCUGGGGGCCAGGCCAGGCAGAGGGGUUCACAGUCUCCGUGGUGUGGGCCCUGGAGGGCGGUGUGUGUGUGGGGGGGUCGGGGUGGCGGUGCCCGAUCCCGCAGACGGGGCUCCGCGAGCCGCCGCCGCCCCAGAACGAAGGCGCGGGGUCUGGGGUGGUGGCGGCUGCAGCUUUUCCGACAGAGACUCGGGAAGGCCGAGGGCUGCGGCCGUCGGGGGCUGGACGGGACAGUAGAAAACUCUCGCACUCACGCACCGCACGGGCACACACGCGGGGUCGGUGGGAACGCACGCAGCCCUCACACGACGCUCUGCCGUUGGGGCGUCUUGGGCUCUGGGCCUCUGUGCGUGCUGUGUCCUUUGCCUGGCCAACCCCUGACGUUCAGGACUGAGCAUGGACGUGACCUUGGGGAAGGCGGGGGUCUCUAUGGGGCUCUCAGGAGUCAUCGUGACACUGCUGGUGGUGUCUGCCCGCCGGGUCCCCCUCGGCUCUGGAAGGACGGACCCCGGUGACCCAUCUCUGUGCCCAGUGCCCGGCACGCAGCACAGCCUGUGGAUGUUGGGGGUGAGUGUGCUGCGGGACUGAAACUCGAACCCCACGGGAUCCCCGUUCUGCACGUCUUUCCACUGGGAGGCCUGGGCCCCCAGGCAGAAGCACAGGGGCCAGCCAUCAUCCCGCUUCCCACCCCAGGCCCAGGAGACCCCUACCCAGGAUGCAGGGGUGGGUGAAGGUACCCUCGCUGGAGUAGAGGCCGUAGGUGCCCAGGUAGGGCGACACCACCUUCUGGAUCAGCGCCUCCAGGCGCAGGUAGUCCUUGGUCACUCCCCGGGACUCGUGCACGCCCUGCAGGACGAGAGGAGGCAAGGGUCACUGCACAGCCCAUCCCCUGCCUCCCGAGCCCGGCCGGGCUCAGCUCAGAGGCCACACGCACGGCCCCGUCCCUCCUCCCACCCCCCGGGUGGGUCCUGGCCCCCAGGGCGAUGCCCCCGUGCCCGCCCUCCCCAGCCCUCGGAACCACUCUCUGGCUCUAACGCCCUGGCAAAGGCCUUCCUUCCACCCCACGCUGCCUCCUCUGCCAGCUCCUCUCGCCCGGAGC